Molecule: long non-coding RNA, 749 nt
Filed under: Rattus norvegicus (Norway rat)
Lineage: Eukaryota; Metazoa; Chordata; Mammalia; Rodentia; Muridae
Description: long non-coding RNA NONRATT008698
Source: RNAcentral
UCACGAAACCGGUAUUGUGCACUGCCCCUGCUCCUGGCCCCUCUGAGCCCACCUCCCAGCUACCCAGACUUCCCCAGCUGAGCGAUGGGCUUUGGCGUCUACCAGCCCCGCCCCGCCAUGCUUUACAUAGCAAACUAGGCCCAGAGUUCCUACCCUGAGCACACGUAGGUGGUCAUUUUCACCACCCAGCACUCCUCAAUGCUAUGCUAGCUGGAUCUUCCACAGAACAUCAGGCUUCUCAGAGAGAAUUCCAAGCAUCUCCCAAGUACCCAGCCAGGGACGGGUACUCGGAAAGAAAAGUGGUGAGAAGGAAGGUUCUAAUGGCUGUGUGCCUGGCCAAGAGAGCUAUGCCAUAUCUGUCCACCUCUAGGGACAGAGGGCAGAAGGAGGAGCAGGGAGUGGCCACGGCGCCACGUAGCUCUGGCUCUGGAACCCCUGCCCCUUCCUUGCACCUCUGUCGCCAAGGAGUCCUUGCAGGUAUUUCUUUGAAAGUCAGAACAUGUGGGACAUGGUGUUACUGGGUCGUGCCAGGAUGCCUAACCAUGCUCCAUUGUUUUCCUAUCACUUCUAAAACAUGUGUGUGAAGGGAAAACUGCAGGAGUUCCAGAGACGGCCUUUAGGGCCCCUGUGCUCUUUGAGCAUGAAAAGAUCCUUGGAGAGAAUCCAACCAUUCCUGAAUACAAGCAUGGACUUUGCAUUAUCGUAGAGUUGAGGGUCUCUAACUUCCCGAGGCCAGGGGGCAGCUAUAA